This 592-nucleotide ribosomal RNA is filed under the name Rhodococcus ruber. Its description in RNAcentral is "bacterial SSU rRNA". It matches the Rfam family "Bacterial small subunit ribosomal RNA", at positions 51 to 656 of the family's 1533-position model. The record is from RNAcentral. Lineage: Bacteria; Bacillati; Actinomycetota; Actinomycetes; Mycobacteriales; Nocardiaceae.
ACACAUGCAAGUCGAACGAUGAAGCCCAGCUUGCUGGGUGGAUUAGUGGCGAACGGGUGAGUAACACGUGGGUGAUCUGCCCUGCACUUCGGGAUAAGCCUGGGAAACUGGGUCUAAUACCGGAUAGGACCUUCUGCCGCAUGGUGGGGGGUGGAAAGGUUUUCCGGUGCAGGAUGGGCCCGCGGCCUAUCAGCUUGUUGGUGGGGUAACGGCCCACCAAGGCGACGACGGGUAGCCGGCCUGAGAGGGCGACCGGCCACACUGGGACUGAGACACGGCCCAGACUCCUACGGGAGGCAGCAGUGGGGAAUAUUGCACAAUGGGCGCAAGCCUGAUGCAGCGACGCCGCGUGAGGGAUGACGGCCUUCGGGUUGUAAACCUCUUUCAGUACCGACGAAGCGCAAGUGACGGUAGGUACAGAAGAAGCACCGGCCAACUACGUGCCAGCAGCCGCGGUAAUACGUAGGGUGCGAGCGUUGUCCGGAAUUACUGGGCGUAAAGAGCUCGUAGGCGGUUUGUCGCGUCGUCUGUGAAAACCCGCAGCUCAACUGCGGGCUUGCAGGCGAUACGGGCAGACUUGAGUACUGCAGGG